UACGGGGGGGGCAAGCGUUGUUCGGAAUUAUUGGGCGUAAAGGGCGCGUAGGUGGUUGAUUAAGUGAGAUGUAAAAUCCCUGGGCUUAACCUAGGAAGGUCAUUUCAUACUGGUUGACUAGAGUACAGGAGAGGGCAGUGGAAUUUCCGGUGUAGCGGUGAAAUGCGUAGAUAUCGGAAGGAACACCAGUGGCGAAGGCGUCUGCCUGGCCUGAUACUGACACUGAGGCGCGAAAGCGUGGGUAGCGAACAGG
RNAcentral lists this ribosomal RNA (253 nucleotides) under uncultured bacterium. RNAcentral's name for it is "partial 16S ribosomal RNA". It matches the Rfam family "Bacterial small subunit ribosomal RNA", at positions 524 to 776 of the family's 1533-position model. The record is from RNAcentral.